GAAAAAGAUAACGAAAUGGACACGACGGCCAAAUCUGAGGAGCAACUCAAACAAACUGACCAAAGUGAAAAGAUGAAAUUUACACAAGUGCUCAAAGUUACCAUUCAUUCACAAACUACAGCACACUGUGUUGGAGUUUGAAAUAGGAAAUGAAGCAGCAAAGAAACCAAUGGCUAGACAACUAGAUUUUGCAUCAAAAAGCUAAAUUAUAAGAGCUUAGAGACGAAGAAGAAAAUCCUAGAAAUGCAUUAAAAGCAAAAGUUAAUUAGCUAUAGGCAAUGAUUUCACGCGAUUACAAAAAUCAGAAUAAACAGCAGUAGCUGCGAAUCUAAAAAACUGUUAGAU
Molecule: unclassified non-coding RNA, 345 nt
Filed under: Hevea brasiliensis (rubber tree)
Lineage: Eukaryota; Viridiplantae; Streptophyta; Magnoliopsida; Malpighiales; Euphorbiaceae
Source: RNAcentral